This 261-nucleotide ribosomal RNA is filed under the name uncultured prokaryote. Its description in RNAcentral is "partial 16S ribosomal RNA". It matches the Rfam family "Bacterial small subunit ribosomal RNA", at positions 524 to 784 of the family's 1533-position model. The record is from RNAcentral.
UACGUAGGGUACGAGCGUUGUCCGGAAUUAUUGGGCGUAAAGAGCUCGUAGGUGGUUGGUCACGUCUGCUGUGGAAACGCAACGCUUAACGUUGCGCGGGCAGUGGGUACGGGCUGACUAGAGUGCAGUAGGGGAGUCUGGAAUUCCUGGUGUAGCGGUGAAAUGCGCAGAUAUCAGGAGGAACACCGGUGGCGAAGGCGGGACUCUGGGCUGUGACUGACACUGAGGAGCGAAAGCAUGGGGAGCAAACAGGAUUAGAUA